Molecule: transfer RNA, 75 nt
Filed under: Escherichia phage T5
Lineage: Duplodnaviria; Heunggongvirae; Uroviricota; Caudoviricetes; Demerecviridae
Description: tRNA-Thr
Source: RNAcentral
AGCACCAAACUUAAAAAUUCAUUUGCUUUCUCUCUUAUUUAUUGCUAUAAUAUUUAUAUAAGUUAAUGAGAGGGA